UGGCGGCCUUAGCGCGGUGGUCCCACCUGACCCCAUGCCGAACUCAGAAGUGAAACGCCGUAGCGCCGAUGGUA
RNAcentral lists this ribosomal RNA (74 nucleotides) under Escherichia coli 2-052-05_S1_C1. The record is from RNAcentral. Lineage: Bacteria; Pseudomonadati; Pseudomonadota; Gammaproteobacteria; Enterobacterales; Enterobacteriaceae.